AAGAGACAGAGGGAGGGAGGGAGAGAGAGAGAGAGAGAGAGAGAGAGAGAAGGAAGGGGAAUCACUUUGUGGGAUGGAGGCGAAGGCCCCGAGGAGCAAUGCGAGAGCGAACAUGGAGGCAACGCCUUGGCUCGCCAUUCUCUUUCUC
This is a non-coding RNA of Triticum urartu, 148 nucleotides long. The record is from RefSeq and is a predicted model, not a curated record. NCBI's taxonomy places the organism in Eukaryota, Viridiplantae, Streptophyta, Magnoliopsida, Poales, Poaceae.